RNAcentral lists this ribosomal RNA (468 nucleotides) under uncultured bacterium. RNAcentral describes it as "partial 16S ribosomal RNA". It matches the Rfam family "Bacterial small subunit ribosomal RNA", at positions 28 to 507 of the family's 1533-position model. The record is from RNAcentral.
GACGAACGCUGGCGGCGUGCUUAACACAUGCAAGUCGAACGGAAAGGCCCUGCUUUUGUGGGGUGCUCGAGUGGCGAACGGGUGAGUAACACGUGAGUAACCUGCCCUUGACUUUGGGAUAACUUCAGGAAACUGGGGCUAAUACCGGAUAGGAGCUCCUGCUGCAUGGUGGGGGUUGGAAAGUUUCGGCGGUUGGGGAUGGACUCGCGGCUUAUCAGCUUGUUGGUGGGGUAGUGGCUUACCAAGGCUUUGACGGGUAGCCGGCCUGAGAGGGUGACCGGCCACAAUGGGACUGAGAUACGGCCCAGACUCCUACGGGAGGCAGCAGUGGGGAAUAUUGCACAAUGGGCGGAAGCCUGAUGCAGCAGCGCCGCGUGCGGGAUGACGGCCUUCGGGUUGUAAACCGCUUUCGCCUGUGACGAAGCGUGAGUGACGGUAAUGGGUAAAGAAGCACCGGCUAAAUACGUG